AGCGUCUGCAGAGUGAGCCCUCUGCCUUACGCAGACGAUCUUCGACUUGCUGACGUCACUGUGAACGUGCGAUAAUGUUUGCUAAGAAAGUUAGCAAAACUUUUCUUUGGGGGUUGAGACAUGUCUCCGGAGGGAAGCAGGUGCUCCCUGUGGCUGUUGCAAGACAACAGCACACCCAGGCCCAGGGGCAGCCUGUGCCUUCAACCCGUCCAGAGACAUCCAGUGCCAAGUCCCUGAUGGACAUCGGGACCCGGCGGAUAUUCAACGAGGACCAUGAUAUCUUCAGACAAAGUGUCCGGCGCUUCUUUCAAGAGGAAGUGAUUCCACACCACACAGAGUGGGAAAAGGCAGGUCAGGUGAGCAGGGAGGUGUGGGAGAAAGCUGGUGAGCAAGGCAUGCUGGGAGUUAUGAUCCCAGAGGAGCACGGUGGCAUCGGAGCAGACCUGUUUUCUGUGGCUGUCAUAUGGGAGGAGCAGAUGUACUCCAACUGCACAGGCCCGGGUUUCACGCUGCACUCCGACAUUGUCAUGCCCUAUGUAUCUAACUAUGGGAGCAAGGAACAAAUUGAGCGCUUCAUCCCAGAGAUGAGUGCAGGGAAAUGCAUCAGCGCUAUUGCCAUGACGGAGCCAGGAGCGGGCAGUGAUCUUCAAGGCGUGAAGACAUACGCUAAGAGGGAUGGCAGCGACUGGAUCCUCAAUGGCAACAAGGUGUUCAUCACAAACGGUUGGAUGUCCGACCUGGUGGUGGUAGUGGCCGUGACCAACCGCGAGGCGAAGGCAGCGGCGCACGCCAUCAGUCUGUUCCUGGUGGAGAAUGGCACCAAGGGCUUCCAGAAAGGACGCAAGCUGGAGAAGAUCGGUCUGAAGGCCCAGGACACAGCCGAACUGUUUUUUGACGAUGUGCGGCUCCCUGCUGACGCCCUCUUGGGGGAGGUCAACAAGGGAUUCUACUACCUGAUGAACGAGCUGCCUCAGGAUUCAUUGUUUCCGGUUAGCUUCAUGGUGAAUAAUUGUAUCAUUUUGGGGGAAAGGAACGUUUGGUCAUCGCUGGCAUGGCCAUCGCAAGCUGUGAGUUUAUGUUUGAGGAAACCAGGAACUACGUCAUGCAGAGGAAGGCUUUCGGCAAGACCAUCGCUCACCUCCAGACUGUGCAACACAAACUAGCAGAGAUGAAAACUGAAAUCUGUGUGGGCCGAGCCUUCAUAGAUAACUGCCUUCUGCUCCACUCGGAGAAACGCCUCGACGCCGCCACGGCUUCCAUGGCCAAAUUCUGGGCAUCUGACCUGCAGAACACGGUGGCCACUCAGUGCCUGCAGCUCCACGGAGGCUGGGGCUACAUGUGGGAAUACCCCAUCGCCAAGGCGUUUGUCGACGCUCGCAUUCAGCCCAUCUACGGAGGCACCAAUGAGAUCAUGAAAGAGCUCAUCGCCCGCACCAUUGUUAGCCAGAAGUAGUUGUUUGUGUUGGCACAUGCUCACUUAAAUCUACAAAAUAUAUAAAGUAAAUAAAACACCACAGGUAAUGAAAAAGAGACUGUGACGAAAAAAGACAAUGAACCUCAAUUUUAAAAAAAUGGACUUAAAUAGCACACAUUCAGGUGUAGACAGAUAUGAAAAGGUUCAAGUGAAGGUAGUGCAACAGUUGGCAGUCAUAGUCAAAUCUGUAUGACAUGUCGCCAGAGACACCUAGUUUGUAAUACUGUGAAUAUAUGAAUAUGCUCAUCUGUACUUGAAAUGAUUUAAAUAAAAACGUUUGAGAUUUGA
Molecule: RNA transcript, 1762 nt
Organism: Eleginops maclovinus (Patagonian blennie)
Lineage: Eukaryota; Metazoa; Chordata; Actinopteri; Perciformes; Eleginopidae
Gene: acadl
Gene name: acyl-CoA dehydrogenase long chain
Exons: 11
Source: RefSeq, a predicted model, not a curated record